This 486-nucleotide ribosomal RNA is filed under the name uncultured bacterium. RNAcentral describes it as "bacterial SSU rRNA". It matches the Rfam family "Bacterial small subunit ribosomal RNA", at positions 501 to 990 of the family's 1533-position model. The record is from RNAcentral.
CUACGUGCCAGCAGCCGCGGUAAUACGGAAGGUCCGGGCGUUAUCCGGAUUUAUUGGGUUUAAAGGGAGUGUAGGCGGUCUGUUAAGCGUGUUGUGAAAUUUAGGUGCUCAACAUUUAACUUGCAGCGCGAACUGUCAGACUUGAGUACACGCAGCGCAGGCGGAAUUCAUGGUGUAGCGGUGAGAUGCUUAGAUAUCAUGAGGAACUCCGAUCGCGAAGGCAGCCUGCGGGAGUGUGACUGACGCUUAAGCUCGAAGGUGCGGGUAUCGAACAGGAUUAGAUACCCUGGUAGUCCGCACUGUAAACGAUGGAUGCCCGCCGUUGGCGCCCUGCGCCUGCGGCCAAGCGAAAGCAUUAAGCAUCCCACCUGGGGAGUACGCCGGCAACGGUGAAACUCAAAGGAAUUGACGGGGGCCCGCACAAGCGGAGGAACAUGUGGUUUAAUUCGAUGAUACGCGAGGAACCUUACCCGGGCUUGAAUUGCC